RNAcentral lists this ribosomal RNA (253 nucleotides) under uncultured bacterium. RNAcentral describes it as "partial 16S ribosomal RNA". It matches the Rfam family "Bacterial small subunit ribosomal RNA", at positions 524 to 776 of the family's 1533-position model. The record is from RNAcentral.
UACGUAGGGACCAAGCGUUGUCCGGAUUUAUUGGGCGUAAAGAGCGUGUAGGCGGUUCGGUAGGUCCGUUGUGAAAACUCGAGGCUCAACCUCGAGACGCCGAUGGAAACCCCCGAACUAGAGUCCGGAAGAGGAGAGUGGAAUUCCUGGUGUAGCGGUGAAAUGCGCAGAUAUCAGGAAGAACACCCGUGGCUAAGGCGGCUCUCUAGUACGGUACUGACGCUGAGACGCGAAAGCGUGGGGAGCGAACAGG